Labrus bergylta (ballan wrasse) is the source of this 708-nucleotide non-coding RNA. The record is from RefSeq and is a predicted model, not a curated record. NCBI's taxonomy places the organism in Eukaryota, Metazoa, Chordata, Actinopteri, Labriformes, Labridae.
GGGAAUGGGUGAGGAAAAUGGAGAGGAGCCAUUUUUCCAGAACACAAAUCCUGCCAAACCCCCCGCAGCUCCCAGUGAGGAGGAAGAGGAGGAUGAGAUGAGUCUGAAGGGCCGCCCACCCCCCGCCCCUCUGUUUGGUGAUGAUGAGGAGGAGGAUGAUGAUCUAGACUGGCUGAACUGAGCUGUAUCCAGGAUAAAAUCAAAGUCUGCGUCUUCAUUUCCAGCAUAUAUAAAAAGGCGCAUGGUUCCUUCUGCAGCUGUGUCUGCCCUGUGGGAGCAGUGAAGAUGACAGGGGCGGCCUCUGCGGCUGGAUCUGAUUGGACGGAGCGGAUCUGAGCGCCCUCCUCUUCGUCUAAGAGUCGUCCUGCUGACUGACAGCUGCUGUCUGUUGAGAACAAAGCUGCUGCUCCAGACUCUGAUUGUGGUUCAAAUCCCAAGCCUGUAAUUCACAGAAGAAUCAAAACCACUUCAUUUCAUUUGUCAUGUGUUGAUGAUGCAGUUUAAUUCAUGUUUCUACAUGGCACUGUAGCAGAUUAGUUUGUCCAAUCAGCAGUAAUCCUGUCGUCUGUUUUCUUUUCUUUUUUAGACUGUAUACCAUGAAAUGGUUUUGAUUAUUAGCUCGCUGCUUUAGAAAUAGAACUUUUAAUAAAGUCUUUGCUAACCUGAAAUUCAUUCCAGAAAAAUAAAGGAGGUGAAAAUGUGUCUCUA